RNAcentral lists this ribosomal RNA (1429 nucleotides) under metagenome. Its description in RNAcentral is "bacterial SSU rRNA". It matches the Rfam family "Archaeal small subunit ribosomal RNA". The record is from RNAcentral.
UUGAUCCUGCCGGAUGUCACUGCUAUCCGAAUCCGGCUAAAGCAUGCUAGUCUUUCCGCAAGGAAGGCGCACAGCUCAGUAACACGUAGUUAAUCUGCCCUUAAGUCUGAAAUAACCCUGGGAAACUGGGAAUAAUGUCAGAUAGGUGAGAGGUACUGGAAGGUCCCCUCACCCAAAGCUUCGGUGCUUAAGGAUGAGACUGCGGCUGAUUAGGUUGUUGGGAAGGUAACGUCUUCUCAAGCCGAUAAUCAGUACGGGCCUUGAGAGAGGGUGCCCGGAGAUGGGUUCUGAGACAGGAACCCAGGUCCUACGGGGCGCAGCAGCUGCGAAACUUUCACAAUGCGCGCAAGCGUGAUGAAGGGAUUUGGAGUGCUUCCUCAUUUCAUGGGGGAGCUUUUGUUAAGUGUAAACAGCUUGACGAAUAAGCGGUGGGCAAGACAGGUGCCAGCCGCCGCGGUAAUACCUGCGCCGCAAGUGGUGACCAUUUUUAUUUGGCUUAGAGCGUUCGUAGCCUGUUUGGAAAGUUCUUAAUGAAAUUUCACAGCUAACUGUGGAGCUUGUUGGGAAUACUUCCAGACUUGGGACCGGGAGAGGUCAAGGGUACUAUCGGGGUAGGGGUUAAAUCCUAUAAUCCCGAUAAGACCGCCUGUGGCGAAGGCGCUUGACUAGAACGGAUCCGACGGUGAGGGACGAAAGCUAGGGGAGCAAAGGGGAUUAGAUACCCCUGUAGUCCUAGCUGUAAACGAUACCCACUAGACUUUGGCAAUCUCACGGGGGUUGUCAGGGUCGUAGGGAAACCAUUAAGUGGGUCGCCUGGGAAGUACGGUCGCAAGGCUUAAACUUAAGGGAAUUGGCGGGGGAGCACACAAGGGGUGGAGGCUGCGGUUUAAUUGGAUUCAACGCCAGGAACCUUACCAGCAGCGACAGCAGGAUGAAGGUCAGGCUGAUGGUCUUACCAGACACGCUGAGCGGUGGUGCAUGGCCGUCGUCAGUUCGUGCCGUGAGGUGUCGAGUUAAGUCUCGUAACGAACGAGACCCGCGCUCUAUGUUGCCAUGGCAUCAAUUCGUUGGUGCCGGCACUCAUAGGGGACCGCUGGUGAUGAACCAGAGGAAGGAGCGGUCGACGGCAGGUCAGUAUGCUCCUAAUCUGCUGGGUAACACGCGGCCUACAAUGGCUGGAACAAUGGGAUGCGACACCGAAAGGUGAAGCGAAUCCCGAAAUCCAGUCUCAGUACGGAUCGAGGGCUGUAACCCGCUCUCGUGAAGCCGAAAUCCCUAGUAAUCGCUGUUCAUCAUACAGCGGUGAAUAUGUUCCUGCUCCUUGCACACACUGCCCGUCAAGCCAACCGAGUGAUUCUUUGACGAGCUACUGGUUUAUUGCCAGCAUCAAGUCACGGUUUCGCAAGGUGGGCUAAGUCGUAACAAGGUA